UGGGGAAUAUUGCACAAUGGGCGCAAGCCUGAUGCAGCCAUGCCGCGUGUGUGAAGAAGGCCUUCGGGUUGUAAAGUACUUUCAGCGAGGAGGAAGGCGUUGUGGUUAAUAACCGCAACGAUUGACGUUACUCGCAGAAGAAGCACCGGCUAACUCCGUGCCAGCAGCCGCGGUAAUACGGAGGGUGCAAGCGUUAAUCGGAAUUACUGGGCGUAAAGCGCACGCAGGCGGUCUGUCAAGUCGGAUGUGAAAUCCCCGGGCUCAACCUGGGAACUGCAUCCGAAACUGGCAGGCUAGAGUCUUGUAGAGGGGGGUAGAAUUCCAGGUGUAGCGGUGAAAUGCGUAGAGAUCUGGAGGAAUACCGGUGGCGAAGGCGGCCCCCUGGACAAAGACUGACGCUCAGGUGCGAAAGCGUGGGGAGCAAACA
RNAcentral lists this ribosomal RNA (427 nucleotides) under uncultured bacterium. Its description in RNAcentral is "partial 16S ribosomal RNA". It matches the Rfam family "Bacterial small subunit ribosomal RNA", at positions 355 to 774 of the family's 1533-position model. The record is from RNAcentral.